CUCUCAGGGUGGGGCUGUGUCUUCAGACCCUGAGUCCUGUGCUGAGCUCUCUAACUGUGGUAGUGGCUUGAACUCCCCGGAUUGGUUCCAGCCUGUCAGGCUGUGGCUUCAGGCCCUGGGGCCGGUGCUGGCCUCUCUAGCAGUGGCUUCAGGCCCCAGGGCACGUGCUGGCCCUUUGGGCUGUGGCUUUAGGCCCUGGAGCUGGUGCUGGCCUCUCGAUGCCGUGACUCUGGCUUUAGGCCCAGGGCUGGUGCUGGCCUCUCAGGCUGGGGAUGAGUCUUCAGGAUGCAGCGCCAGUGCAGGCCUGCCUGCCUGUGGCUUCAGGCCCCGGGGUCUGUUUAGGCAUCUCGGGCUGUGGCUUUAGGCGCUGGGGUCGGUGCUGGCCUCUCUUGUGAUGGCUUUAGGUCACAGGGCCCUCAUGCCUCUCUGGCUGAGGCUUUAGGCCCCGGGGCUGUGCUGGCCACUCAGGCGGUGCCUUUAGGCCCUAGAGCUUGUGCCGGCCUAGAACAAGGUGCAUUUUAAAAUUGGUCAUGGAAGGAAAUGAAAGCAAGAGAGCACUGAGCUCUUCUGUGUGUUUCCUGGAUUGGGAUGGAGACAGGAGAGCGUGCUCAGCCUCCCUCGUGUGGUUGCUUGUAUCCAGCAACAGCAGCCGCAGCUGAGAACAUCGUCACAUCUUUAUUAGGCGCUCCUCCGUCUGUCUCUUUUUGCCUCUGUUUUCUGGAAUGCAGGGAUUUCUCUUUGUGGCCCACAAACUCUUUGUGCCAGGAUAACCAAGUAUGAAUUCUCACUGCUCUUUACCCUGCUCAAGAGAAGAUGGCUGUACUGUGAGGGCAGG
This 835-nucleotide long non-coding RNA is filed under the name Gallus gallus (chicken). RNAcentral's name for it is "lncRNA (ENSGALG00010000163.1)". The record is from RNAcentral. Lineage: Eukaryota; Metazoa; Chordata; Aves; Galliformes; Phasianidae.